UCGAACAAAAAUGCCGGGAAUGCCAUUUUAUAUGAAUGUGUUGAAACAAUUAUGAGCAUUGAAGAUAACAGCGGCUUGCAGGUGCUUGCCAUCAAUAUUUUGGGUAGAUUCCUAUCAAACCGUGACAACAAUAUCAGGUUUUCCACGGAAAAAAUUUGGUACAUUGAUCAGAUGCUCAAGGUUCUCUCUGAGGUAUGAAUUAAAGUGCUGGUCAUUCAAGUUAUUGAUUUUAGGAUGUAUAUUUGAGGCUUGUAUCCACACUUCUUUUUACAAAGAAAAAAAAUAUAUAUUUAUUUAUUUGGAGGCUUAUCUUCAGUGUUCACACUUAAAUGCUCGUGAUAUAUUAUAAUCGAGUGUAUUUAUGGCG
This is a non-coding RNA of Camellia sinensis, 367 nucleotides long. NCBI's taxonomy places the organism in Eukaryota, Viridiplantae, Streptophyta, Magnoliopsida, Ericales, Theaceae. The record is from RefSeq and is a predicted model, not a curated record.